GUUUUUUUAAUAAAGAGUUUGGCCUGCUCGGUGAUUUUAUUUAACAGCUGCGGUAUUAUAACUGUACUAAGGUAGCAUAAUAAUUUGCCUUAUAAAUUGGGGCUAGAAUGAAUGGUUUGACGAGAAUUAAGCUGUCUCUAUUUCAUUUAUUAGAAAUUAAUUUUUAUAGUGAGAAAGCUUAAAUGGUUUAAAGGGACGAAAAGACCCUAUUGAGCUUAAUGUUAUUAUAUAAAUUUAUUUUGUUAGUUUAUAUUUAAAUUGAUGAUAAUUUUUAUUGUAGGUUUGUUAUUAACUUAACUUUGGUUGGGGUGAUCAAGGAAUAAAAUUAUUUAAUUUUAACUUCCUUAAAUGUCAAUUUUUAUAGAGUAAUAAACCAAAUUUUUUGCUUAGAAGAUAAGUUACCAUAGGGAUAACAGCGUAAUUUUUUUUGAGAGUUCAUAUUGAAAAAAGAGAUUGCGACCUCGAUGUUGGAUUAAAAUUAACCUUAAGGUGUAGAGGCUUUAUUAGGUGAAUCUGUUCGAUUUUUAAAA
RNAcentral lists this ribosomal RNA (530 nucleotides) under Octopus salutii. RNAcentral describes it as "partial 16S ribosomal RNA". It matches the Rfam family "Bacterial large subunit ribosomal RNA", at positions 1836 to 2593 of the family's 2925-position model. The record is from RNAcentral. Lineage: Eukaryota; Metazoa; Mollusca; Cephalopoda; Octopoda; Octopodidae.